RNAcentral lists this ribosomal RNA (464 nucleotides) under uncultured bacterium. RNAcentral's name for it is "partial 16S ribosomal RNA". It matches the Rfam family "Bacterial small subunit ribosomal RNA", at positions 28 to 506 of the family's 1533-position model. The record is from RNAcentral.
GACGAACGCUGGCGGCGUGCUUAACACAUGCAAGUCGAACGGAAAGGCCCCCUUGUGGGGUACUCGAGUGGCGAACGGGUGAGUAACACGUGAGUAACCUACCCUUGACUUUGGGAUAACUUCAGGAAACUGGGGCUAAUACCGGAUAGGAGCUCCUGCCGCAUGGUGGGGGUUGGAAAGUUUCGGCGGUUGGGGAUGGACUCGCGGCUUAUCAGCUUGUUGGUGGGGUAGUGGCUCACCAAGGCUUUGACGGGUAGCCGGCCUGAGAGGGUGACCGGCCACAUGGGGAAGGGGAUACGGCCAAAACCCCUAGGGGGGGAAGGAGGGGGGAAUAUGGAAAAAGGGGGGGAAGCCUGAGGAAGCAACGCCGGGGGCGGGAUGAGGGCCUUCGGGUGGUAAACCGCUUUCGCCUGUGACGAAGGGGGGGGGAGGGAAAGGGGGAAAGAAGCACCGGAUAACUACGU